This 875-nucleotide ribosomal RNA is filed under the name uncultured Veillonella sp. RNAcentral's name for it is "bacterial SSU rRNA". It matches the Rfam family "Bacterial small subunit ribosomal RNA", at positions 41 to 885 of the family's 1533-position model. The record is from RNAcentral. Lineage: Bacteria; Bacillati; Bacillota; Negativicutes; Veillonellales; Veillonellaceae.
GGCGUGCUUAACACAUGCAAGUCGAACGAAGAGCGAUGGAAGCUUGCUUCUAUCAAUCUUAGUGGCGAACGGGUGAGUAACGCGUAAUCAACCUGCCCUUCAGAGGGGGACAACAGUUGGAAACGACUGCUAAUACCGCAUACGAUCUGACCUCGGCAUCGAGGAUAGAUGAAAGGUGGCCUCUAUUUAUAAGCUAUCACUGAAGGAGGGGAUUGCGUCUGAUUAGCUAGUUGGAGGGGUAACGGCCCACCAAGGCGAUGAUCAGUAGCCGGUCUGAGAGGAUGAACGGCCACAUUGGGACUGAGACACGGCUCAGACUCCUACGGGAGGCAGCAGUGGGGAAUCUUCCGCAAUGGACGAAAGUCUGACGGAGCAACGCCGCGUGAGUGAUGACGGCCUUCGGGUUGUAAAGCUCUGUUAAUCGGGACGAAAGGCCUUCUUGCGAAUAGUUAGAAGGAUUGACGGUACCGGAAUAGAAAGCCACGGCUAACUACGUGCCAGCAGCCGCGGUAAUACGUAGGUGGCAAGCGUUGUCCGGAAUUAUUGGGCGUAAAGCGCGCGCAGGCGGAUUGGUCAGUCUGUCUUAAAAGUUCGGGGCUUAACCCCGUGAUGGGAUGGAAACUGCCAAUCUAGAGUAUCGGAGAGGAAAGUGGAAUUCCUAGUGUAGCGGUGAAAUGCGUAGAUAUUAGGAAGAACACCAGUGGCGAAGGCGACUUUCUGGACGAAAACUGACGCUGAGGCGCGAAAGCCAGGGGAGCGAACGGGAUUAGAUACCCCGGUAGUCCUGGCCGUAAACGAUGGGUACUAGGUGUAGGAGGUAUCGACCCCUUCUGUGCCGGAGUUAACGCAAUAAGUACCCCGCCUGGGGAGUACGA